CAUUUUCCUAGAUAUUACACCGUCUUACAGCUAAGGCAAUCCUUAGAGACUGGGAAGAGGGAAGCCUGGAUGAUGACAGGACACAGCAUGAGGUCCUGAAGAUGAAUCGAAAGAAUCUUAUAAUUCAGCUCAGCACAAAAUAUUCCAUUGUAACACAGUUUACCAGUUUCGUUGCCAUUGAAAAGAGAGAAAAGGAUGAAGAUAUGAGCAGUGAAGGUCCGAGGAUUGAGGCUAUCUUGGCAGAAGAAGAUGUAGAUAUUCUGCCAUAUAUUGGAUGGAAGGAGAAGGAAGAGAUUCUUAACAAACAGGAGGAAAAACGGUUAAUAUUUCAUCUGACCUGUAAAGUUCUUUGACAUGUUUUUAGUCUAUUGUCUUGUCUGGAGAGAUAAGGCAGUUUGUUUCCAGUGUAAUUUGUUAUCUAGCCCUGAUUUGAAAACAAAGCCUUGCCUUAGAGGUGUG
Lingula anatina is the source of this 459-nucleotide long non-coding RNA. The record is from RefSeq and is a predicted model, not a curated record. NCBI's taxonomy places the organism in Eukaryota, Metazoa, Brachiopoda, Lingulata, Lingulida, Lingulidae.